This is a long non-coding RNA of Mustela erminea (ermine), 612 nucleotides long. RefSeq lists it as uncharacterized. NCBI's taxonomy places the organism in Eukaryota, Metazoa, Chordata, Mammalia, Carnivora, Mustelidae. The record is from RefSeq and is a predicted model, not a curated record. The transcript is spliced from 3 exons.
CCCUUGUCAUAUGCAUAUUUUUAAUGGAAUGACAUCAGAGUGUUUUAGAAGGAUUUUGCUGUUUAUUUGGUUGUUUGAUGGUGCGAGAAGCUAAAAUCCCUACCUGCUGAGAUGACGCGAGGCAAAGGAUGCAGGCGCCGUGGAGAAGUGUUGGGUUACUAUUUACCUUCUGAGGAUUCAUCAGAAGGAGGAUCACGGGCUUCCAGACCGCAGUUGACCUUGGGUAACUGAAGCUGCAGAAUGCAAAAUUGCAGGACCAAUUCGCAUUAAAUAUGAGAAGAGAUUACACAAAGGCAUGAAGACCAAUAGGCUAGGAGUACUGGAAGCAAAUUUAGAGUCUACCACUGUCUACCAUCAUCUUAAAUGAUCAAUAUCAUUCCCACAUGCAAAAUAUACAAAUUCAACCAAAAGGUCAACAAAAACCUUAAUCCAUUCUAGCAAAGAGUUCUUAAUCUCAAGACCUGUGAACUACAGAAGAUAUCUGCUUCUUACACACACCAUCAGUGGUGUGAGAGAGGGAGAGAAGAUUACUGCUAUAAAUCCAUUCAAAAAUAAGAAAAGAACAGGAGAUACAUAGGACUCACUGGUUUAAAAAUUCUGAAAUCCAGGCUG